RNAcentral lists this transfer RNA (69 nucleotides) under Cavia porcellus (domestic guinea pig). It matches the Rfam family "tRNA". From Rfam's summary of the family: Transfer RNA (tRNA) molecules are approximately 80 nucleotides in length. Their secondary structure includes four short double-helical elements and three loops (D, anti-codon, and T loops). Lineage: Eukaryota; Metazoa; Chordata; Mammalia; Rodentia; Caviidae. The record is from Rfam by way of RNAcentral.
GGGGAUGUAGCUCAGUGGCACAGCACUUGCCUGCCAAGCAUGAAAUCCUGAGUUCUAUUCCCAGUACCA